GAACUAAUUACGGAGGGGAUGUGUUUCAAUUUGUUCCGCAUUAGCGCCGCGCCGGACCGCGGGCACCAAGCACGGGAAAUUGAUGAGCCGAGCCCCGGGCAUCCCGCCGGCUCUACGGCCCUGACCCCGCGCUC
Coturnix japonica (Japanese quail) is the source of this 134-nucleotide unclassified non-coding RNA. NCBI's taxonomy places the organism in Eukaryota, Metazoa, Chordata, Aves, Galliformes, Phasianidae. The record is from Ensembl.